GAUGAAGAACGCAGCGAAAUGCGAUAAGUAAUGUGAAUUGCAGAAUUCAGUGUAUCAUCGAAUCUUUGAACGCACAUUGCGCCCCUUGGUAUUCCGAGGGGCAUGCCUAUUCGAGCGUCAUUAUCACCCCUCAAGCCUAGCUUGGUGUUGAGGCCUGCUGUCAAGGCAGCCUCUAAAAUCAGUGGCAGUGCUGUCAGGCUCUAAGCGUAGUAAAUCUAAUCGCUAUAGACACCUGGUGGACACUCGCCAGAACCCCCCCAUUUUUUAAUGAUUGACCUCGGAUUAGGUAGGGAUACCCGCUGAACUUAAGCAUAUCAAUAAGCGGAGGA
Molecule: unclassified non-coding RNA, 329 nt
Filed under: soil metagenome
Description: partial contains 5.8S ribosomal RNA, internal transcribed spacer 2, and large subunit ribosomal RNA
Rfam family: 5.8S ribosomal RNA (bases 1-120)
Source: RNAcentral